UUUUCAAGGAACCGAUAAGAUGUAUGUGGUUUAAAAACACUUCAUUGAUUUGUCUUAUUGCUUUGUUUUGUUUUUAGUCAUGUCUUCAGUUAAUUUUGAAAUUUUAUACCACAUUAAAAGAGGUUGAGACAUUUAUGUUCUUCAGAAAGGUGCUUGCUAUCGGAGGCAAUGAGUUUUUACCCAUAUUUUAGCACAACUGUUAAAUUGUAUAUGGAAAUUCUUACUGGUAUGUUUGUUAAAUAUUUUCAUUGCCAUGAUUGUCCCUGGUCCCAGUGGAAUCUUAUUAGUGUAAAUCUUCUUUGUCAUACAUUCUCUCUCCUUGCUGUUUCAGAGGCCUACUCAGCUUUCAGGGUUUCAGAUGCCACCCCAACCACUUACUCUUCCAUGCCUUACCCCCCACAAGGCAUGAAAUUCGCUUGCAUGUAACUCCUGUAACACUGUCACCCUUCUUACGUUCUGCCUUGCGUUCUGGGUAACUUGUUUUGUCUCACCCUAGGGGAUUUUAAGUUCCAGUACAGUAAAAGGAGCAUUUUAUUUACCUUUGUAUUUACUGUAAUGUGGAGCACAGUGCCUUUUAAAUUGGGUCAUUUAAUAUAUGUUUGAGUUGAAGGCAAUUUAUCAUGGUAGUUACGUGUAUACCAUAUAUGGUAGUUAUAUGGUAUAGAGUUUCCAGGUCACCAAACUAUCACUGAUAUUUAUAGAAACAUUAAAGUUUUGAUAUAAGAAAUUAAUUUAUAAAGUCAAAUAGGAAUUUUUGUUUAAAAAUGAAGGCGUAAUACCAGGGAAAGGAAAAAGACACAGACGUAGACCCUUUAUACUUUGUGCUUAGCAACUGAGUGGCUCUGAACUUUUUGGAUGGGUAGCUGAAUGAAUGAAAGAACUUGAAUGCUAGGUCACACUGGUUGGUGAGCAUAGUACCUUUAAAACCUUGAACCUGUCCAGCUCCUACAGUACCCUCAAACCUUCUGGGAAUUUAUUUGGAGUGGGUGGGGAUAGAAGAGAAGAUGUAGAUCAAUGAAAUCUGACAAAUUAAUUUUAAAAUUUUCACCAAGUAGCUUAUUCUGCAGGAGAUAAAGUAAAUAUUAACAGGCCCUUUUGUCAUGGAUUGUAAUUGUAUUGUGGGGAUUUAUGAAAACUUUAAUUUUUACAGGACUUCUUUUUCUUCUCUAAGAUCAUAUUUGUUUGGUCUAAUAGUAUAUAUUGUUAUAUCAGUUCAAGAGCUUUCCCAGAGAGUUGAGAAAUUUUAAUAAACAAUAUGGGCUAUCUUGCUAAAUGAUCCAACCUCUUAAAUAGCUGUGAAGUUUGGCUGUUUGUAUUUGGUUUUGAGAAAUCAUAUUGUCAAAAUAAUAAUUUGGAUUCUACUGAUCAACAUGGUAUCUGCCUCUGUGACUCACUGUGUUAAUUGUGAAAUGCUUGCCUGGCUUGGGGCAUGAUUUUUAGACAUGGAAGAGAUUUAUUUUCUCUGUAAGUAACAAUUGUUUGGUAUGCCGUUCUUGAAGUCCAGGAGGAGUUACUAAAGAACAGAGCAUAGUUCUUUUUUUUUUUUUUUUUUUGGAGUCACACAGGGACCCACAAAGAUCUUUUUUUUUGAACAGAGCAUAGUUCUAUUUCAAUUCAGUUGAAUAUCAGGGAUAACCUUUGUUUAGAGACAUUUGAGACCUUAAUGUUAUAUAUAUUUACCUCUUGUGAGUUUUUAGAAAAAUUUAAGAGUGUCUAUGUACUUUCAAAGGAUAGAAGAAAUAUUCUAGUAUUAUAUUUCUGCUGUGGAAAGUGAGUACCAAGUAAAAAAUAAAGGGUGUGUGUCAUGGCUUCUAAAAUUGGAGCAGGUGGACCAGUUCCUGGGGACCUUAGAAAAGGAAGAUCCCAAGAAGCAGAGGAUUCUAUGACUCCACUGCCUUGCACGUAGCAUCAGUGUAAAUUGUACAGCUUGUCAGUUAACAGCAUUAAUUUAGGAGUAAGAUAUUGUUUAAAAAUGUAGUGUCCUGAUUAAAAAAAUCUUUUUAUUUCUCGCAUAUACCUGAGAAAGCCUGUGUACUUUCUAAAGUUUUGGAAAGAGAUGAGCAGAGCUAUGGGUUGAGAAGUGAGGAGUGAGGGUUGAGAAAGAAGUUAGAGAAAUGUUAGUGAAAAAAAAAAUAUAUGUGUGUAUGUAUAUAUAUGUAUAUGUAUAAGAAUUAGAACAAUGUUUAUAGUAAUGAUGAGUAUUGAGUUUCCAUGGAUGCUGUAUUGAUGGUAGCCCAGAUCUUAGAACUGGAGUAAUUUAGAUUCGGGUACCCAUUAAGUAUUUUUACUGUAUGCCAAGCACUAUCCUUUCCUUUAACUUUCAUAGUUCUUUGAGGCAAUAUUAUCUCCAUAUAAUGGCUGAAAAAGCUAAGUUAUAAAUAUUAUGAUUGAUUUAUUAAGGAUCUUACAGGUAGUAGAGAAUAGGUCCAGUAUGUUGAACUCAGGACGCUAGACUUCAAGUAAAAGAAAAAAAUUUUUGAGUACUUACUGUGUCAUUGCAUUGUACUUAGCAAUUUAUCUGUAUCUCAUUCAGUCUUUACCACAACCUGGUAAGGCAAAUGUAGUUUAUAAAUGAAUAAAUUUGAGGCUUAGAGAGCCUUACAUAGCCAGCAGAUUUUGUCACCGUACUUUGAAUUUGUUCUCUUAACUGCUACACUAUAUGGCCUUUAUAAUUUGGAAAGAGAAUAGGAACAUUGUGUGAAAUUGAUUGAACUAAGGUUUCUAUGGGUAACCUAGGAACUUUUACUUUUUAUAAUGUUUCUUACCAAGAAGAACAUAAUUGUCAAUCACAUGCAAGUAAACUAAGUAUUUUAAAUCCUUUUUUGUAAUAAAACUUUAAUAGCAAAUACUUUGCUUUCAAAAUUAAUACAGGCUAUCUAUAAAACAGUGGCUAUAAGAAAUGGGUAAAAACUAUAGUUGAAAUCCAUAUUGCAGAAUCAGUUUUGAGCCAGAACUCAUUAUCUUUAAGGAAAUUCAGGAUUAGGUUAAGUAACUUUUGCCAAAGUUUUAGAAGCAGCAGAUUCCAGUCCAGGUAAUUUAGGGUAGAGCUCUAAUUCUUAACUGCUUUACUGGCCUAAGAGAAUGUGAAUGAUUGUGCAGAAAUGGAGCCUUCUUACCUCUGAUAACUUAAAGACACUAAUUUUGAGCCCAGAUAACACAUCAUUGUUUGACUCAAGGGAAGUGUUAGACUUUAUCUGCUUCUGUCCUUAUUGUUUCCUUUGCUCACUUGUCUCAGUAUUUUUUGUUGUUGCUUAAUAUUAUUCUUGAACAUGAAAAUUCUCUUUAUCAAGUUGGCACUUAAUAAAUGUUGAAUGUUGAAAAACAAAAAAAUUAAAAGUCUUAAGUAUAGAGAUGAAAUUUUAACAUAUUCAUUGAUAAUCUUUUUUUUAAUUAAAGUUUAUUUAUUUAUUUUGAGAGAGAGAGAGAGAGAGAGAGGGGCAGAGAGUAGGAGAGAUAGAAUCCCAAGCAGGCUCCAUACUCUCAGUGCAGAACCCACAAACCAUGAGAUCAUGACCUGAGCCUAAAUCAAGAGGUGGACGUUUAACUGACUGAGCCACCCAGGCGACCCAUCAUCUUUUUGUUUGUUUAUUUGUUUGUUUGUUUGUUUCUAAUUGUUUUGUUUUGUAUUGUUUUUAAAGAAGAAUUUCUGUAGCUUUGGGGACUAAAAUGUUAAUUUAAAAGGUUGAUUUAAGAUUCUCAUGACUUGGAGAAAAUUUUCUGUGCUUCUGAGGAACUUUUCUUAGUUAACGAGUGUUUUAAGUGUCAGAUUACAAUGAAAUCCUGUGGUGAUACAAAAUUCAGGUAGAGUAUAGUUGGCUCCCACCCUCUGCCCUGCCUUAGUGCCUGCCAGUGAGGCCAGGUACCUGUUUUGUUUGUAAUAAUUGGCUUUCGCACAAUUCUGGUAAAUUAAAAUUGAUAUAUGUACUUUUCCUUCCUUGUUACCUCUAUUCUGUAACUGGAAGACUAUUGGAAAAAUAAUUGUUUUCUGUUAACUUUGAAAUAUUAAGUCCUAUUUUUCAUGUAGUUAGAUUUUUUGGACCAUACUUAUAAGAGGAUAUCUGGGUUUUAAUGCACAGUACUUAAUAAAUGGAGUAUUCAUAUGUCCAGAAGGCACUUCUUUGCCAGCUUGAUUGUAUAGAAUGAAGGCAGGAACUAGAUAGUUGAUAAAGAUCCAAAAGAGCUAUCAUAGAAUGUGAAGCAAUUUUUUUUUUUUUUUAGCCUAUAUGAAAUUCCUUUGGUCAGUGUUUCCUACAGUAGUUACUCUAAUAGGUGUUAUACUAUAACAAGUAUUCUAUAGCCAGACAAGUUGAGGAAGUGUAACUUAUAGGAUCCCUUGAAGGACUGGUAUUCCUUGGAUCACACUUUGGAAGCUCUGCCUUAGGUAUUUGGAUCUUGCAUUUAUUUUAGAAGAGAAGGGAAAGGAGCCAGCAUUUAAAAAGCAUUACUUCACAGGCCCUAGGUGAUGUCUCCAUUUUACCGACAAGGAACCCAAGGCACUUCUGGAGGGUAGAGGAUACUAACAGGGCAGAAUUGGAAUGGAUCCCAAUCUCUCUGAUUCCUAAAUCUUUGCUCUUUUGUCUUUGCUAUGCUACCAUGUGAUUGUAUUGAAUUUGUGGUUUUACUUACAAAUGGCAACUUAGCAGUAGUACUAGGAAAGAGUAUAUACUUCCCUAUUUAGAGAAGAAGAAAAAAAGAAUUUGACUAGUUGACCAUGUCCUGCAUCCUUUGUUUUGCAUAGAUGAACUCCAUGUUCUGGGGGGGAAGAUUUUAGAGAAUACUCUACAAAUUAGGCUCCUGUUUGAGUGAGAUUGGAUACUAUCUUUAGGUGUGUAUAGUUUUAUAUCUAUAUUCGACAUCAUAAGGCCAGAGCCUCUCUUUGAUCAGGUAUAGUGAACUUAGACGUUACUAAUUUCAGUUACCUACCUUUCUGGAGAUUAUAAAGCUUAAUGAAGAUAAUUAUGCAUGUAAGAUGCUUGGCACAGUGUCUGACCCAUAAUAAUCUUAGCUGCUAUUAUUAAUAGUAAUAAUAAUUAACGCUUAGGUGUAGGUUGUUACCUCUUUGUAUCUGUUGUAUAUUUUUUUUAAGUGUAUUUAUUUUGAGAGAGUGUUGUGCACUCGCACAAGAGGGAAAGGGACAGAGAGAGAGGGAGAGAGAAUCUUAAGCUGGCUCAACGCUUAGCACGGAGCCCAACACUGGGCUCGAUCUCAUGACCCUGAGAUCAUGACCUGAGCUGAAAUCAAGAGUCAGAUGCUUAACUGACUCAGCCACCCAGGCACUCCUGUUUAUUUUAUUUUUUUUAACAGGCAUGUGUAUUUAGGGUGGUCAUAAGGAGGCCUCCAAAUCUUUUUUUUUUCUUUUUUAAAUUUUAAGAAAAAAUCAUCACCAGAUAACCUUUUUAUUUUUAAUUAAUUUAUUUUUUUCAGAUAACCUUUUUAAAGUAAUGGAAAUUAUAUCUUGGAUGCAGUUUAUAAGACAGUUACAGUUCCCAUUAGGGAUCUGGCAAAUUUUUAGUGACUACUAGUUGUAAUUUUUUUUUUUUUAACAUGUAUUUAUUAUUGAGAGACACACACACACAGCAUGAGCAGGCCAGGGGCAGAGAGAGGGGGAGACACACAGCAGGCUCCAGGCUCUGAGUUGUCAGCACAAAGCCUGACAUGGGGCUGGAACUCACAAACCACAGAUCAUGACCUGAGCCAGAGUUGUACACCAAACCAACUGAGCCACGUACGCAGGCGCCCCAUCAGUGAAUACUAGUUGUAAUAAGCAGAUGUUGGCCUAGUGCGCCCCAAGGUUUUUUGUUUUUUAAUGUGAGAUUUGUAUUUUAAGUCAGUCUGAUGUCUGUGUUGUCAGUCUUUUAAAGGCUGCCUAUUUUUCUUCUGAAAGCUAUUUUUAUCUAGUUUGUAUUCAUUGGCAGUUUGGUUUACAUUGGCCAUUAGGUUAUUAAAUGUUUAACUGUGAUGGGCACACCAGAGUACUAUGGAAUGUGAAGAUUUUUUCUCUCCUUCCUGCCCCCCGCCCAAAUCAGGUUGUCAGCAGUCUCAUUCGGUAGAGUUAAAGUGGUCUGAGGUGCUCUCUGAACAUUUGGAUAACUAUUUAGAACCAUUCAAAACCACUGAGGCUAUUAACUGUGAAUGGAGUUAAGCAGAAUACUGUGUUCUUUUCCUUCAGUUUUUUUUUUUUAAUGUUUAUUUUUUGAGGGGGGAGAGAGAGAGAGAGACAGACAGACCAUGAGCGGUGGAAGAGCAGAAUGGGAAGCAGGCUCCAGGCUCUGAGCUGUCAGUGCAGAGCCCAACGCGGGGCUCAAACUCACGGAGUACGAGAUCAUGACCUGAGCCGAAGUAGGACACUUAACUGACUGAACCACCCAGGCACCCCCGUUUUUCUUCAGUUUUGAUUCCUUCUUCUCUAAUUUGAGGAAGCUGGGGAGAGAAACUAUCCACUCCCCAUCCCAUGAAAAGUUUCUUCUCCCUUCUUCACUUUUUAUUUACUGCUUUGAAACAGCCAAAAUCUUUGGGGGCUUAAAGAACAUCAGACACUUUUCACAGUUUAAGGCAGAGUGAUUUUCAUGGGAAACCUUUUCUUAUAAGUAAAAUACUCUUUGUCCUUGCCAGGGCAUUCUUAAAAGGGCAGCCAGCAGCACCUCACUGCUUUGUCACUAACCAGAAUAGAGAGGAGAGAAUGAGUCACAAGGUUCCUUCUUUCACAUUUUUCCUUUUCUCUUUUCCCUUUCCACUUAGCUUUUCAUGGGGACUGAACCUGGCUUCUGGUGGAAUGGGGGUAAUUUUACUUCAGUGCAGAGCCUUCUUGGUGUUUAUUCUCUCUCUCUUUCUGAGCGUCCCCUGCUUGUUCUUGCUCUCUCUCUAAAAUAAAUAAAUAAACUUAAAAAAAGAGCUUUAUUUCAGUAGGUUACAUGAUUAUUCUGAGGAACAGCAGAUUCUUUUCUUACUAUUUGAUAGGGGUAGCCAAUGACCAGUGAGAUUGCUUACUUUUUUUGUGUCUGUAUGAACCUCGGUUUUGAAUAUGUUUGUUUUAAUCCAUUGUAGUUUUUCUUUUUAGUUUUCAAAUUGUCUCAUUUUAGUCAGUGGGAGCCCCUUCAUAUUGGUUCCUGUAUCUGUAGAUAUAACCUCAGUAAUCUUUGGUAAUUCUGUUUUCUAGUAUACAAGAUGUUUCAGGCUCAUCUUAUCCAUAACCUGCCUUAGAUCCAGAACCAGAAUUUAGAUUUCUCUGAGGGAUUCUGAUUCCUAUUAGUAUUAGUAUUUAAAGACCAUAAUUUGGAUAUUUGUCACUAUGUGUUGAUUGUUGUUUCUAGGCUCAUUUAGUGGACAGAGCUAGGGUGUAUAUCUGUGGAUGUGUGUGUGUUGGAUUUUUCUUAUUGUGAAAUACACAUAAAAUUGACCAUUUGAACCAUUUUAAAGUGUACAGUUCAACAGUAUUAAUUACAUUCCCAUUGUUGUGUGUUCAUUACCACUAUCUUGUUCCAGAAAUUUUCCACACCCUGAAAGGAACCCUUGUAUUCAUUAAGCAGUCACUCUGCAUUCUUCCCUCCCUCCAGACCCUGGCACUAAUCUGCUUUUGACUGUAUGGAUUUGCUUGUUCUGGACAGUUCAUAUAAAUGGACUCAUACAAUAUCUGGCCUUUUGUACACUGGCUUUCACUUAAUAAUGUUUUCAAGGUUCAUCCAUGUUGCAGUAUGUAUCAGUACUUCAUUCCUUUUUAUGGCUUAAAAAUAUUUCAUUGUAUGAUAAAUUACAUUUUGUUUAUCUGUUUAGUUGAUUGACAUUUGAGUUUUGGCUAUUGUGAAUAGUGUUGCUAUGAACAUUUGUGUGUAAGUUUUUGUUUGAAUGCUUGUCAGUUUUUUGGAGGUAUUUACUAGGAGUGGAAUUGCUGGGUCAUAUGGUAAUUCUGUGUUUAAUUUAUUGAGGAACUGCCAACCAGUUUCCCAGGGUGGUUGCACCAUUUUAUAUUCCCACCAGCAGUGUAUGAAUGAGAGUUCCAGUUUUUCCUAUAACCUCUCCAACACUUUUGUUUUCCAUUUUUUGAUAAUGGCCAUUCUGGUUGAUGUGAAAUGGUGCUUCAUUGUGAUUUUGAUUUGCAUUCUCUUAAUAACUAAUGAUGUUGAGCAAGGAUGGGCUUGUUGGCCAUUUGUAUAUCUUCUUAUAGGAGUAUACACUCAAGUCCUUUGGCCAUUUUUAAAUUGGGUUGUUUGCCUUUUUGUUGUUGAGUUGUAAGGAUUCUUUAUAUUUAUUCUGUAUUAAUUUAUACUUAUUCUGUAUACUAGAUCCUAUCAGAUACAUGAUUUGAAAAUACAGUCUCCCAUUUUAGGAGUUGUCUUCCCCCCUCCCCCCCCCACUCUCUUGAUAGAGUACUUUCAUGCACAAAAGUUUUAAAUUUUGAAGUCAAAUGUAUCCAUUUCUUUCUUUUUUGUGCUUUUCAUGUUAUACCAGGAAAAGCACUCCUGAAUCCAGUUAUGAAAAUUACCCAUGUUUCCUUCUAAGGAUUUUAUAGUGUCAUUACUUACAUUUAGGUCCCUGACCCAUUUUGAGUUAAUUUUGAUUUAUGAUGUGAGGUAAGGGUCUAGUUUUCCAAGUUAUAUUUGUUGAAGAGGCUGUUCUUUUCCCAUUGAAUGGUCUUGGCACCCUUGUUGAUAAUCAGUUACCCAUAGAUACCUGGGUUUAUUCAUGGACUCUCAGUUCUCUUCUAUCGAGAUAUAUGUAUGUAUGUGUGUAUAUAUGUAUGUGUGUGUGUACAUAUAUAUAGUAUUUAUGCCAGUACUACACUGUCCUGAUUACUGUAGUUUUGUAAUGUAUUUUGGAAUGGGGAAAUUUAAGUGUCCAACUUUUAAGGAUUAUUUUGUCUAUUCAGAAUUCUUCAUGAUUCCAUAUGUAUUUUAGGAUCCUCUUCUCCAUUUUUGCAAGAAAGCCUUUUGGGGUUUGGAUAGGGGUUGUGUUGAAUCUGUAGAUUGGUUUGGGUUGUAUUGAUGUAUUAAUAAUAAUGUUUUCUAAUCCAUGAGCUGGAAUGUUUUUCUAGUUACUCUUCUUUAAUUUCUUUCAGUAAUGUUUUGUAGUUUUCAAGUCUUGUACCUCCCUGGUUAAAUUUAUUCCUGUUGUACACUGAAUUGUUUGAAAAUAUCCUUUUCUGAUUAUUUAUUGCUAGUAUAUAAAAAUACAACUGAUUUUUGUGUUGAUGUUAUAUUCUGCAACUUUGCUGAACUUGUUGUAUGAUUCAGAAAAUACACCAUGAGUUCAUACCAAUAUUUCCAAAUCUGAUGUCAUUUCAAGGGUAAGAGGUUGCUAUUAUAAGAUUUUGCCUUUGACUUUUUAAAUCUUUAUAUCUAUAGCUCUUUUAUGCCAAAAAUCUUGUGAGUAGUGCAUUACUUGAUUUAUAUUUAUAUAUACAUAUUAGUGUUGUUAUUUUGAGAUUAUUGUAGAAAAUGGUUGCUGCAAAUAAUUUAAGAAUUCUUGUGUUUAAUAUAGAUUUUAUUAGGGAUUUACAGUCAAAUUACCUUUCUAAAAUCAUUUGAAAUAACUUCUCUCUGACAUUAAGCCACUUGUUUGAUACAUAAUUUCUUUGGUCAUUUUAUUGUCAAUUUUUGGCAGUAACUUAUUUUCAUUUUGAUUAAAUUUUGUUUUAUAAUUAUGUAAAAUAUUUAUGUUCCAAAACUACAGUAUAAAGUAUAAUCAGAAAGUCAGCUUUUAUCCUUUCCCUCCCCUAUAGGUAACCAUUUAUAUUCGUUUUUGGCUAUUAAAAAAAUAAAUGUACGUGUACUUAUUCAUCUUUCUCUCUUCUUAGAUACAUCUUCCACUUUAUUUUAUACUUUGUAUUUUUUUACUUAACAGAAAUCCUAGAAAUUACUCAUAGUAUAUGAAGCUCUUCUUAUUGCUUUGUGUAUCUGCAUAGCAUUCAGGUUUUUUAUUCAAGCAGUUCUAUAUAGGUAGAGAUUAAGGUGUUACAUAGGGAAAUUUUCAGUGAGACCAAUUCUCUUGUUCUUCUGGCGCUGAAACUUUAAAAGGUAUUUUAUUUUUCAUUUUUAUAAAGAUAACUGUUUUACCACAAAUACUCCCAACAGUAUACAACUAUGUAUGGUAAAAAGUGUAAAGUUGUCUUUGAUUCUUUUCUGCCCACUUUCCCUCUACUCACAUCUCCAGAAAUUACUACUAAGUUAGUUCAAGACAUUUGUCUGUUACGAGUGUACAACAUUUCUAUGUACCACAAAUGGUUUUUUAAGAAAAUUGGGAUCAUAUCUGAAUGUUCUGCAACUUAAUUUUUUAAUAUAAUAUUAUCGAUUGAGCUUUAAAUUUGGAUAAUGAAAAGAGAUUCCUGAGUGUAAAUAAGACUUAAAAAACAGUUUUGAGAUCUUUUUUCCUUCUCUUUCAUUAACACUGGAUAGCAUAUUUUGUGUGUGUGUAACUUCCUAAAUUUUCUGUAUUUUACUUACUGCCCUAAAAUACAGAAAGUAGUGAGGUGCCUGGGUGGCUCAGUGGGUUGUGUCAGAAUCUUGAUUUCGGGUUGGGUCAUGAUCUCAUGGGUUCCUGAGUUCGAGCUCCCCAUUGGGCUCUGCACUGACAGAAUCCAUUUGGGAUUCUUUCUCUCCCCCUCUCUUUCUGCCCCUCCUCUGCUUGUGCUCUUUCUCUCUCAAAAUAAACUUUAAAAACAAAGGUUAAAUCCAGAAAGUAGUGUGUGUUAGAUUUUAUUGUUGUAAUCCAUUGUGGCUUAAUGUUAAAAGUGAAUCUAAAUAAAGUCAAGAUACUUAGUAAUAACCAGGUUGAAUGUGAGCUUUGUAAAGGCAGGAAAAAAAUUUGCCUUUCUUGUUCAGUACCGGGUCCCUAGCACCUAGGACAGCAACUGGUUCCCUGUUCUUCCCACUCUACUUAUUUUAUUUUCAUAAUAUAAAUUAUAAAUGGAUCAUGCUAUACAAACUAUUCUGUUUUUUUCACUUGUUAAUGUAUUAUGGACAUUUUCCAUGUCAGUACUUAAGUGUUUAUUCUUUUAAAUUAAUGGGUUAAUGGAGAUAUCAUAUGUUACAUAUUUAGGUAGUUUAAAGACUUUAAUUUGAACCAUUUUUCUCCCUUAGCCUUGGGCACUAGUGUUUUGUUUUUAAAAUAUUAGUGGAAGAUACUAAGUUGAGGGAUAUGAUGGAGUUAAAGUGUGUAACUCCCCUUUUUGAGUGUAUAACAUCAAUGUGUUUAUGUAGAGUGGUGGUGUAUGUAACAUGCUUUAGAUAAUGAUAUGACUAUUCUGACCAUGAAUGUUGGAGUAAUUCAUUUUAAAAUAUUUGGACGAACAAUUCAGAUAAGGAGAAAUUAUAGUUAACCUGUGAAAGUAUUCAUUUUAGUGUAAUUGACAAAACAAAAAUAAAAUGAGAAAAAAUUGUACCCCUAAUCCCCAUUUAAAUUGACAAAGAUUAGAUACAUAAUAGUUGGUGACAAGGGUUUUGAAAGAUGUGUUGCUGAAGAAAAAUAGGUUUGUAUAUUCUUUUUGGAGGGCAGUUUGACAGAAUUUCAGAAGUUCUACUUCUGGGACGUUAGGGAAAGAAAUUGAGAUAGACUCACAAAUUUAGAUACAUAUAAAUCGUUAUGGAAAUUUUAAUCCUGGGACUAAUAACAAUAAUAUUACUUAAAUAGUGCUUCCCCAUGCCAUACAUUACAUUUAUUUAAUCCUCUCAAUGAUCUUAUGAUAUUCAUGCAAGAGGAUUAAAAAUGAUGAUAUAGAAGAAUAUUUAACAUGGAUGUAAAUAUUUUUUUAAGUACACAUUUAAGUUUUUUUAAGUACACAUUUUUUUAAAGUUUAUUUUGUGAGAGAGAGCACCUGUGAGAGCAGGGGAGGGACAGAAAGAGAGAGAGAGAGAGAAGAGGGAGAGAAUCCCAAGUGCUAAAAGCACUGAGCCAGAUGCGGGGCUCAAGCCUACUAACCGUGAGGUUAUGAUCUGAGCCGAAAUCAAGAGUUGGACACUUAACCCACUUAGUCACCCAGGCACCCCAGUAUGGAUAUAAAUUCGUAAUAACAAUGAGUGAAAAUAGUACAUUGCAAAAGAGUAUGUGCACUGAUUGCAUUGACUGUGACCAAACUGAGAAUAUUCUCCAAAAUAUUUAUACUUACACUCCUGUAUUAUACUUACAAUCUAGUUAAACUUAAAAUGUGUUAUUCAGAUAUGUUAAUUUUAUUCUUUUUGCCGUUUUAUAGUUUCUCUUCAGUGAACAUAUAUUAUCUAACAAGAAACCUAAUUUUUUUUUUAAAAGGUACUUUGAUUUUACAGGAUUUACUUCCAAGAUUCCUGAACAGUGCAUUCCCUAAACACCUUUAAAAAAGAAUUCUAUUGGUUAUACUUUAAAUCUAUAAGUAACUUUAAUCCUUGUGAGGGAGCUAGACUAAGGUUUAAGAGCUUUCUGGUUCUCUAUGACUUUAUGAUUCAUCUCAGGAUUUUGUGUUAUUAGGUAUAUUUCUUUGGAAAUAUGUUGCAAGGAAGUGAGCUGGAUGAAACUUGCUGCAUGAUUGCUUUUUUGAAAUCAAAAUUGUUGUUGAAUAUUAAUUAGCACCACAGUUUUGUGUGAAGGCUUUAAGACUGUGUGAUAAUGAGACUCAUUAUUGGAGAGACAGUGUUAGGUGUUCAAGGUGUCCACAUUUAUUCAUUCAGUGUUCAAAACCAACUAUAUGCUAGGCACUCUUCUAGUCAAAGUGCCUAGCAAUAGUCAAGUAGGACAGAUUUAUUAAAGAAGAGACAGUAAAAAUGUUUGUUUCAUACUGUUUCUCCUAGGCUUGGGGUCUCCCAAAAGGCAGGAGGAUUUAUUUUCUUGGGUAUUUGGGAGUUUGAUUUAAUUUAAGUUGAAAGUGAGAAGGAGCCAUGAACUAUGGAGAAGAUAAAUAAUUAUAGUAUAAUUUUCAUAUCAACUUACUAUUGAGUUAGAGUCUUUAUGUCUAUGUCUUUCUUAAGGAAUUGGCAUUUAUUUAAUAUUUAUGUAUCUUUUACUUCUACUUUUAACAUGGUCUUUAUGACAAUCCCGAGAGAGAAGAAUUAUUAUCAGUAUUUAACAAAUAAUAAAAUGGAGUUUUUAGAAAAGUUAAGUAAUUUGCUUAAGGGUCAUUGCUUAGUGAAAUUUAAACUAGGUCUGUUGAUGCUGAAGUCCAUUAGCUUUUUGUGAUAUCUUCCAAAGGAAGUUGGUAUUAAUUGUGUGGGGGUGAGGGUUUAUUUUCUCCGUAGAUAAUACUGAAUAACAAGAUGUACUAAAUUUGAAAGCUGUGCUGCAAAUGGUUUUUUUCCCCCCAAAUUGGGGAAAAGCCCAGCAUAUUUCAAAAUAAAAAAUAUUCUUUUUUGUAUUAAAAAAGUAAAAUGUGUUCAUCAUAGAAAAAAUAUAAGAUUAGGGGGAUGAAAAAGAAAAAAAGAAAAGAAGGAAGGUAGCUGGGAUAGUAAAAGAGUUUUAUUGAUCCAGUGUUAAAUUUUUGGUGUACAGGUAGUACUUAACAUAAUAAUAUAGUUUGGGUUCCAGAGUCUGUGUGGCCUGGAAUUAAAUCUGAACUCUUACCAUCUAAUGGUUUUGUUAUUUGAGACCAUGAAGGUUUUGGGGCAAAUUACUUAUUUCAGUUUUGCAUAUGAAAGAAGUGAGGUUUAGAGAAGGCCUAUAUUAUAGAGCAUCUUAGAGUUUUGAUGAUUAAAUGUGGUAAAAGGCAUAUGAAAUGCUUGUCAUAUACCUAAAAUUCCAGGCACAUCCUAGUUCUUUGCACAUAGAUAUAUUAUUUUUUACUGAAAUUAAUUAUCAAAAAUUACAACUGCCUUUUUUAAACCUCUGUAUCAAAAAUAUCUUUUGAUAUAAAUCACAGCAUUUAAAAUUUUCAGAUAAUAACUUAUGUGUACCAUGUGAUGCUGUAAUCAGUCAUCCUCUUCUUGGUAGACAUUUCAUUGUUUCUGAUUCUCUCUUUUGCAGUUAUAAAUAAUAUUUCAAUGAAUAUUUUUGUAGCAGACCUUUAAACAUGUUUUCAUCCCAUUAGAAUGAAGCUAGCAGUCAAAGAAUACAUACACUUUUAAGAUUUUUGAUUCAAGUUGCUGGAUUGCCUUCCGAAGAUAUUGUAACUAUGUUCCUAACAGUAAUUCAUAUGGUCACCUGUUCCCCUGUGUUCUUAUUGUGUUACAUAUUAUAAUUUUAAAUCAUCAUUGUUGAUUUGAUCCAUUUUAAUUUACAUUGCUUUGAUUACUAAUAAGGUUGAGGGUUAUUUUUCUACAUGCAUAUUGGCCCCUUGUGUAUUAUCUAUCUGUUUUCCCAUUAGUUUUCAAGUCCUCAUUUACAUUUUGAAGGUUAUUUAUCUUUUCCUAGUGAUGGAAAGAGCUCUUUAUAUAUGAAUACUCUGAACUCAUUGUUGUAUGUUGCAAGUACUUCCCCCCUAAAUUAUCUUGUAAUUUUGCUUAUGUUUAUGUAUUUAUUUAUGUUUAUGUUUAUUAUUUUUUUGCUUAUGUUUAUUUUUGGAUGCAUAGAAGUUUAAAAAGUUUAUGCUAACAUAUGUGUUGAGCUUCUAGCUUUAGGGUAUUGCUCCACGAACGGUACAGAUUGGCAGUUCUCAGACUUUGGUCUUAGCACCUCUUUGUACUCUUAAAUACUAUUGAGAACCCUGAAGAGCUCUUGUUAGUGUGGGUUACACCUGUAGAUACUUGCCACGUUAGAAAUUAAAACUGAGAAUUUUAUAAAAUAUUAAUUUAUUAGAAGCAAUAAGUUUUUUACAUGUUAACAUAAAUACCAUUUUUAAUGAAAAAUAAUUAUAUUUUCCCAAAUAAAAAAAAUUGAGAAAUUUUUAUUUUUGCAGAGCUCUUUGAAUGUAGCUGGAUUCUCAUAUAUCUGUCUCUGCAUUUAAUCUCUGGGGAUAUCUAUCAUGGGACAUAUUGCCUCUGGAAAACUGUUUCGUAUACUCCAAAGAAUGAGUGUGAAAAAGCAGAUGUUAUAUUAUUAUUGUUAUGAACAUAGUUUUGGUUUCAUAGGCCCCCUGAAAAGGUCCAGAGAUCUGAACUGUACUUUAAGAACUGCUGAUACAAAUGUUCACUUAUAUAUUACUCUUGGAGUUUUAUGGCUGAAUUUAAUUUUUUUAAUUAUUAUUUUUUAGCAUUUAUUUAUUUUGAGAGAGAGAGAGAGAGAGAGAGAGAGAGAGAAUGAAUGAAUGAAUCCCAAGUAGGCUCUGGCUGUCAGUGCAGAGCCCAACAGGUUCAACCUCAUGACCAUGAGAUCAUGACCUCAGCUGAAAUCAAGAGUCAGAUGCUCAACUGACUGGGUCACCCAGACACCCCUUUUAUGACUGAAUUUAAAUGAAUGAAUUUGAGUAUAAGUUUAUAAUCCCCCCUCUUCCCAGUUAAGCAUGCUUUUGUUGAAAGAUCCAUUUCUACGUAAAUCAUUGACUGAUGAAACUCUAAACCUACCCACUUUUUCUCAGUUACUGAGUUUAACUGCAAUGAAAGCAGUAGUCUUAGCAAUCUUUGCUUAAUGUUCUAUUUUGGUGUAUUAGAUUGCUGAUGAAUCCUCCAAACCCUGACUUCAGUUUCACAACCUAUUGCCCUAAAAACUUAAAGAUGUUUUAUUCAUGUUGAUUAUGGCGUUUUACUCUAACAAAUAUUGUUUCCUUACCAGUUAUGAAAGGGAUACAUGAUCAUUAUAGGACAUUUGAAAUGUACACAGAAGCAUAAACAAAAGAGUAUUUUGUUACAUUGAAUAGGCAGAGUGCUAUAGUCUCUUACUAUACUUUAAUGGGAGUUAUUUCAAUAUCGAAAAAUGCUAGCAAGUUGAACAAUUCAUAAAUUCCUACUCCACAGUUGAUGAAUUGUAUGACUUUUCAUGUGUUGUUUAGCUUCUUGGGAUUCCUAACUCACCAGACUUUUGUUUACUAUUCAGUGUGUGUUUCUAGGUGCUUUGGAUACAAAGAGCAAGACAUGAUUUCCCCUGCCAGGGGAAACCAAUUUGCAGGUUAAUGAAGAAAUAUACAUGUUCUGUAAUAAGUAUUACUAUGGCCACAAACAAUUAUUAAUAUUAUGGAAGAGCCUAAGCAAGCUAAUGUUGAGAAAUGAUGGGGGAGUGAAGAGAAGGAAGUGGAUUUGCAAAGAUUCAGGUUGUACAGUCUUCCUUUAGUAUUUGAUGAUUUAUUGGCUCUCUGGUCAAGAAUGACUCCCAGCUCUACCACUGAGUGGAUAAUGAUGUAUACUAAAAUAGGGAAUAUGCCCCACUCCCAACAAAAUAAAUCUCCCAGCACAUCUAUAUUUUCCAAGGCUCUAUUCUUUUGCUUUCCAAGAUGAGUUCAAUUGUGGCCAUGUUGGAUUUGAGGGGCCUGGAAAUAUUCAGGUGGAGAUGUGUGGGAGGCAUAAAGCUACCAGGAAAGUUGUGUGGACUAGAGUUCGUGGUGUGGCAUAUGUGAUUGAGUGGAGAUUAAGAUCAUCUUUUGAGAAUUCUUAAUAGGAGAGAAGAAGGCCAGUGAUUUUCCAGCAUUUGAUGGAGAGUUAGAGGAAAAUGAAUCUAGCAAAAAGUUGUCAGAAGAGGGAAGAUAGAAGAGUGGUGGUAUAAAAGGCAACAGACCAGAAUUUAAAGGAGGAGGAAGGGAGAAGGGGAUCUGAAAUGCUAACUCCUCCUUACAAGCUCAAAUAAGACCUGAAAAUUGUUCAUUUGAUUUAGGAAUAAGGAGGCAUUGAUGACUUAAAAACAGCUUAACUGGGAAGCUGGGUGUGGAAGCUGUUAGCAAAGAGAAUAGAGGUGACUGGGCGCCUAGGCGGCUCAGUCGGUUACGUGUCUGGCUCUUGGUUUUUUGGCUCAGGUCAUGAUGUCACGGUUUGUGAGUUUGAGCCCCACAUUGGGCUCUAUGUGCACAGUGCGGAACCUGCUUGGGAUUCUCUCUCUCCCUCUCUUUCUGACCCUUCCCCGCUCACUUUCUCUCUCAAAAACAAAUAAAUAAACUUAAAAAAUAGAGUAGAAGUGAGGAAAUGGAAUACAGUGAGUUUUGGCUACUUUUUUGAGAAGCUUGCAAAUGGACAUAGGGAUUUGAGAAUGUUAUGUUGAGAGGAAGAGACUCAGAGAUUGAACUGAGAGAUGAGGACAUAAUGUCAUUUUAAACUUUCUAGAAAAACUUUUUGUUUGCCCUUUUUGUUUUUUAAACUAUUUUAUUUAUUUUAGAGAGAGAGAAAGAGAGCCCGUGUGAGCAGGGCAGAGGGAGAGAAUCUUAAACAGGCUCCAUGCCCAGUGCAUAGCUGGACAUAAGGCUCAGUUCCACGACCCUGAGAUUAUGACUUCAGCUGAAAUCAAGAGUUGAACCCUCAACUGACUGGGCCACCCAGAUGCCUCAAUUGUUUGCCCUUUCUGUAAAAAUUGUUUUAAAAUACACAGUACAGGGGCGCCUGGGUGGCGCAGUCGGUUGGGCGUCCGACUUCAGCCAGGUCACGAUCUCGCGGUCCGUGAGUUCGAGCCCCGCGUCAGGCUCUGGGCUGAUGGCUCAGAGCCUGGAGCCUGUUUCCGAUUCUGUGUCUCCUUCUCUCUCUGCCCC
Acinonyx jubatus (cheetah) is the source of this 17494-nucleotide long non-coding RNA. RefSeq lists it as uncharacterized. The transcript is spliced from 2 exons. The record is from RefSeq and is a predicted model, not a curated record. NCBI's taxonomy places the organism in Eukaryota, Metazoa, Chordata, Mammalia, Carnivora, Felidae.